GGCGGGUCACAAUCCGCCCCCUUAAGCCGGUCACCGCGUCGGGCUCAUAACCCGAAGGUCGCAGGGUCAAAUCCUGCCCCCGCUACCA
RNAcentral lists this transfer RNA (88 nucleotides) under Actinobacteria bacterium 13_1_40CM_4_65_12. Its description in RNAcentral is "tRNA-Met". It matches the Rfam family "tRNA", at positions 9 to 71 of the family's 71-position model. From Rfam's summary of the family: Transfer RNA (tRNA) molecules are approximately 80 nucleotides in length. The record is from RNAcentral. Lineage: Bacteria; Bacillati; Actinomycetota.